UCAAGCAAGAAAGAGCACAAGGAGAAUGCCUUGGCACUGGGAGCCGAUGAAAGACGUGGUAAGCUGCGAAAAGCUUCGGGGAGGCGCAAACAGCCAUCGAUCCGGAGAUAUCUGAAUGGGGAAACCUACUUGAGCAAACCUCAAGUAUCCAUACGUGAAUCCAUAGCGUAUGGAAGGGAACGCUGUGAACUGAAACAUCUAAGUAGCAGUAGGAGGAGAAAGAAAACUCGAUUUCCUAAGUAGCGGCGAGCGAACGGGAAAGAGGCCAAACCGAAGGACCUGGUUCUUCGGGGUUGCGGACUGCAAUUAGCAUUGCUGAGAGAUAGACGAAUGGUUUUGGGAAAGCCAGCCGUAGACGGUGAAAGCCCGGUAGACGAAAUCUUGAAGCAGCGAGCAGGAUCCAGAGUACCACGAGACACGAGAAACCUUGUGGGAAGCCGGGGGGACCACCCCCCAAGCCUAAAUACUCCCUAGUGACCGAUAGUGAAGCAGUACUGUGAAGGAAAGGUGAAAAGGACCCCGGGAGGGGAGUGAAAGAGAACCUGAAACCUUGUGCUUACAAACAGUCAAAGGCCUACGGUCUGAUGGCGUACUUUUUGUAGAACGGUCCGGCGAGUUACUAAUGCCAGCGAGGUUAAGAUGUCAGAAGCAUCGGAGCCGAAGGGAAACCAAGUCUGAAUAGGGCGUAGAGUUGGUAUUAGUAGACCCGAAACCGGGUGACCUAUCCAUGUCCAGGUUGAAGGAACCGUAAAAGGUUUUGGAGGACCGAACACACAUGUGUUGAAAAACGUGGUGAUGAGGUGUGGAUAGCGGAGAAAUUCCAAUCGAACUCGGAGAUAGCUGGUUCUCCUCGAAAUAGCUUUAGGGCUAGCCUCGAGAGGAGUCUAACGGAGGUAAAGCACUGAACUGACGCGGGGCCCAAAAAGGUUACCAACUCAUAUCAAACUAAGAAUGCCGUCAAGAUACCCUCGGGAGUCAGUCUGCGUGAGAUAAGUCGCGUGGACAAAAGGGAAAGAGCCCAGACCGACAGCUAAGGUCCCAAAGUACGUGUUAAGUGGAAAAGGAUGUGGGAUUUCAUAGACAACUAGGAUGUUGGCUUAGAAGCAGCCAUACAUUUAAAGAGUGCGUAAUAGCUCACUAGUCGAGAAAACCUGCGCCGAAAAUGUAACGGGGCUAAAACACGACACCGAAGCUACGGAUUCCUUACAAAGUAAGGAGUGGUAGAGGAGCAUCCUGCAAGGACGAAGCCAAAGUGAGAGCGAUGGUGGACGAAACAGGAGAGAGAAUGCCGGAAUGAGUAGCGAGAUACAUGUGAGAAACAUGUAGGCCGAAUAUCUAAGGAUUCCUGGGUAAAGCUAAUCUUCCCAGGGUUAGUCGGGGCCUAAGGCGAGGACGAAAGUCGUAGUCGAUGGAUAACAGGUUGAUAUUCCUGUACUACACAUAAUCAGAACUGUGGGGACGCAGGAGGAUAGGGAAACCGGGGAAUGGAAAGACCCGGUCAAGCGUAAAGCUGUGGGAGAUAGGCAAAUCCGUCUCCUGUAAGUGAAACGUGAUGAGGACUGAAAAAAAGUAAGGAAGUUUCCGAAUCCACACUGCCGAGAAAAGCCGCUAUUGCGUUAUGUGUACCCGUACCGUAAACCGACACAGGUAGAUGAGGAGAAAAUCCACAGGCCGACGGGAGAAGUGUUGUUAAGGAACUCGGCAAAAUGACCCCGUAACUUCGGGAUAAGGGGAGCCUCGCAAGAGGCCGCAGAAAAGAGGCACAAGCAACUGUUUAGCAAAAACAUAGGUCUAUGCGAAACCGUAAGGUGAAGUAUAUGGGCUGACGCCUGCCCGGUGCUGGAAGGUUAAAAGGAGAGGUUAGCGCAAGCGAAGCUUUGAAUUCAAGCCCCAGUAAACGGCGGCCGUAACUAUAACGGUCCUAAGGUAGCGAAAUUCCUUGUCAGGUAAGUUCUGACCCGC
RNAcentral lists this ribosomal RNA (1962 nucleotides) under human gut metagenome. Its description in RNAcentral is "bacterial LSU rRNA". It matches the Rfam family "Bacterial large subunit ribosomal RNA", at positions 3 to 1991 of the family's 2925-position model. The record is from RNAcentral.